GAUGAAGAACGCAGCGAAAUGCGAUAAGUAAUGUGAAUUGCAGAAUUCAGUGAAUCAUCGAAUCUUUGAACGCACAUUGCGCCCCCUGGUAUUCCGGGGGGCAUGCCUGUCCGAGCGUCAUUACAACCCUCAAGCUCAGCUUGGUGUUGGGCCCCGCCGCCCCGGCGGGCCCUAAAGUCAGUGGCGGUGCCGUCCGGCUCCGAGCGUAGUAAUUCUUCUCGCUCUGGAGGUCCGGUCGUGCGCUCGCCAGCAACCCCCAAUUUUUUUCAGGUUGACCUCGGAUCAGGUAGGGAUACCCGCUGAACUUAAGCAUAUCAAUAAGCGGAGGA
This 329-nucleotide unclassified non-coding RNA is filed under the name soil metagenome. RNAcentral describes it as "partial contains 5.8S ribosomal RNA, internal transcribed spacer 2, and large subunit ribosomal RNA". The stretch from base 1 to 120 matches the Rfam family "5.8S ribosomal RNA", at positions 35 to 154 of the family's 154-position model. The record is from RNAcentral.